This 267-nucleotide ribosomal RNA is filed under the name uncultured bacterium. Its description in RNAcentral is "partial 16S ribosomal RNA". It matches the Rfam family "Bacterial small subunit ribosomal RNA", at positions 87 to 353 of the family's 1533-position model. The record is from RNAcentral.
GAUGACGACCGGCGCACGGGUGAGUAACACGUAUCCAACCUGCCGAUGACUCGGGGAUAGCCUUUCGAAAGAAAGAUUAAUACCCGAUGGCAUAGUUCUUCCGCAUGGUGGAACUAUUAAAGAAUUUCGGUCAUCGAUGGGGAUGCGUUCCAUUAGGUUGUUGGCGGGGUAACGGCCCACCAAGCCUUCGAUGGAUAGGGGUUCUGAGAGGAAGGUCCCCCACAUUGGAACUGAGACACGGUCCAAACUCCUACGGGAGGCAGCAUG